This 537-nucleotide ribosomal RNA is filed under the name uncultured Actinomycetes bacterium. RNAcentral's name for it is "bacterial SSU rRNA". It matches the Rfam family "Bacterial small subunit ribosomal RNA", at positions 74 to 624 of the family's 1533-position model. Lineage: Bacteria; Bacillati; Actinomycetota; Actinomycetes. The record is from RNAcentral.
UGGAGCUUGCUCCGGCGGAUUAGUGGCGAACGGGUGAGUAACACGUGAGCAAUCUGCCCUUGACUCUGGGAUAACUGCGGGAAACUGUAGCUAAUACCGGAUACUUUCCUCGGUGGGCAUCCACUGAGGAAGAAAGAAUUUCGGUCAAGGAUGAGCUCGCGACCUAUCAGCUAGUUGGUGAGGUAAAGGCUCACCAAGGCGACGACGGGUAGCCGGCCUGAGAGGGUGACCGGCCACACUGGGACUGAGACACGGCCCAGACUCCUACGGGAGGCAGCAGUGGGGAAUAUUGCACAAUGGACGAAAGUCUGAUGCAGCAACGCCGCGUGAGGGACGAAGGCCUUCGGGUUGUAAACCUCUUUUAGCAGGGAAGAAGCGAAAGUGACGGUACCUGCAGAAAAAGCACCGGCUAACUACGUGCCAGCAGCCGCGGUAAUACGUAGGGUGCAAGCGUUGUCCGGAAUUAUUGGGCGUAAAGAGCUCGUAGGCGGUUUGUCGCGUCUGCUGUGAAAUUUCGAGGCUCAACCUCGAACUUGC